AUGCAGUCGAACGAUGAAGCCCAGCUUGCUGGGUGGAUUAGUGGCGAACGGGUGAGUAACACGUGGGUGAUCUGCCCUGCACUUCGGGAUAAGCCUGGGAAACUGGGUCUAAUACCGGAUAGGACCUCGGGAUGCAUGUUCCGGGGUGGAAAGGUUUUCCGGUGCAGGAUGGGCCCGCGGCCUAUCAGCUUGUUGGUGGGGUAACGGCCCACCAAGGCGACGACGGGUAGCCGGCCUGAGAGGGCGACCGGCCACACUGGGACUGAGACACGGCCCAGACUCCUACGGGAGGCAGCAGUGGGGAAUAUUGCACAAUGGGCGCAAGCCUGAUGCAGCGACGCCGCGUGAGGGAUGACGGCCUUCGGGUUGUAAACCUCUUUCAGUACCGACGAAGCGCAAGUGACGGUAGGUACAGAAGAAGCACCGGCCAACUACGUGCCAGCAGCCGCG
This 450-nucleotide ribosomal RNA is filed under the name Rhodococcus ruber. Its description in RNAcentral is "bacterial SSU rRNA". It matches the Rfam family "Bacterial small subunit ribosomal RNA", at positions 55 to 519 of the family's 1533-position model. Lineage: Bacteria; Bacillati; Actinomycetota; Actinomycetes; Mycobacteriales; Nocardiaceae. The record is from RNAcentral.